This 404-nucleotide ribosomal RNA is filed under the name Polycera sp. CASIZ:120773. RNAcentral describes it as "partial 16S ribosomal RNA". It matches the Rfam family "Archaeal large subunit ribosomal RNA", at positions 2000 to 2665 of the family's 2987-position model. Lineage: Eukaryota; Metazoa; Mollusca; Gastropoda; Nudibranchia; Polyceridae. The record is from RNAcentral.
AUUAAUGGCCGCGGUACUUUGACCGUGCUAAGGUAGCGUAAUCAAUUGGUUUUUAAUUGGAGCCAGGUAUGAAUGGAGUUACGGGGUUUAGCUGUCUCUGAACUAUUUUAUCGAACUUACUAUGUAAGUGAAAAAGCUUACUUUUAGAAAAAGGACGAGAAGACCCUUAGAGUUUUACUAAAAUUAAGAAAAUAUUUUGUUCUUAAAACAGUUUAGUUGGGGCAACAAAGGAGCACAACAGGUUUAAAUCUCCUUAUAAUAAUUUAUCGAUUAUUUUAGGUUUGAAUAAACUACCUUAGGGAUAACAGCAUAAUUUUAUUAGUAAGUUUGUGACCUCGAUGUUGGACUAGGAAACUUAAAGGUUAGCCGCCUUUGAGGCAAGUUCUGUUCGAACUGUAAUUCCU